This 804-nucleotide ribosomal RNA is filed under the name Plectosphaerella cucumerina. RNAcentral describes it as "partial large subunit ribosomal RNA". It matches the Rfam family "Eukaryotic large subunit ribosomal RNA", at positions 78 to 906 of the family's 3401-position model. The record is from RNAcentral. Lineage: Eukaryota; Fungi; Ascomycota; Sordariomycetes; Glomerellales; Plectosphaerellaceae.
CCUCAGUAACGGCGAGUGAAGCGGCAACAGCUCAAAUUUGAAAUCUGGCUCCUUCGGGGCCCGAGUUGUAAUUUGCAGAGGAUGCGUCGGGUACGGGUGCCUUCCGAGUUCCCUGGAACGGGACGCCAUAGAGGGUGAGAGCCCCGUCUGGUAGGACACCCAGCCCGUGUGACGCUCCCUCGACGAGUCGAGUAGUUUGGGAAUGCUGCUCUAACGGGAGGUAUACUCCUUCCAAGGCUAAAUACCGGCUGGAGACCGAUAGCGCACAAGUAGAGUGAUCGAAAGAUGAAAAGCACUUUGAAAAGAGAGUCAAACAGCACGUGAAAUUGUUAAAAGGGAAGCGCUCGCUACCAGACUUGGGUUCGGCGGUUCAACCGGGGCCACGCCCCGGGGCAUUCCGCCGGCCCAGGCCAGCAUCAGCUUUCCGUCGGGGGUAAAGGCGUCGGGAAUGUGGCUCCCCUUCGGGGGAGUGUUAUAGCCCGUCGUGUCAUACCCUUCGGGGGGCUGAGGUACGCGCUUCUGCAAGGAUGCUGGCGUAAUGGUAGCUAGUGACCCGUCUUGAAACACGGACCAAGGAGUCAACCUUAUGUGCGAGUGCCCGGGCGUAAAACCCCAGCGCGGAAUGAAAGUGAACGUAGGUGAGAGCUUCGGCGCAUCACCGACCGAUCCUGAUGUCCUCGGACGGAUUUGAGUGAGAGCAUAUAGGGUUGGACCCGAAAGAAGAUGAACUAUGCGUGUGUAGGGUGAAGCCAGAGGAAACUCUGGUGGAGGCUCGCAGCGGUUCUGACGUGCAAAUCGAUCGUC